RNAcentral lists this ribosomal RNA (390 nucleotides) under uncultured bacterium. Its description in RNAcentral is "bacterial SSU rRNA". It matches the Rfam family "Bacterial small subunit ribosomal RNA", at positions 30 to 420 of the family's 1533-position model. The record is from RNAcentral.
AUUGAACGCUGGCGGCAUGCCUUACACAUGCAAGUCGAACGGCAGCACGGGAGCAAUCCUGGUGGCGAGUGGCGAACGGGUGAGUAAUAUAUCGGAACGUGCCCAGUCGUGGGGGAUAACGUAGCGAAAGCUACGCUAAUACCGCAUACGAUCUAUGGAUGAAAGCGGGGGAUCGCAAGACCUCGCGCGAUUGGAGCGGCCGAUAUCAGAUUAGGUAGUUGGUGGGGUAAAAGCCUACCAAGCCUUCGAUCUGUAGCUGGUCUGAGAGGACGACCAGCCACACUGGAACUGAGACACGGUCCAGACUCCUACGGGAGGCAGCAGUGGGGAAUUUUGGACAAUGGGCGCAAGCCUGAUCCAGCAAUGCCGCGUGCAGGAUGAAGGCCUCGG